This is a long non-coding RNA of Mesocricetus auratus (golden hamster), 996 nucleotides long. RefSeq lists it as uncharacterized. The transcript is spliced from 3 exons. The record is from RefSeq and is a predicted model, not a curated record. NCBI's taxonomy places the organism in Eukaryota, Metazoa, Chordata, Mammalia, Rodentia, Cricetidae.
GCCGAGGCUGGGCAGCUGGGCACAGAGGAGCCCAAUCGCGCCCCUAAGGUGUGCGUGUGCAACCCAUGGGGCGGGGCCGGGCCGAGGAUUCCCACAUUGCCUCUCAUCUCUGUGAAAACUCAGGACAGUAUUCUCAACGCUGAUCUCAAGUAAACUCUACCUCACUGCUAUCUACUAAUGAAUAAAGUCUGAAGCACCUGUGCUAGCACACGGAACAAAGUGACUGCUCUUACAGAGGACCGAAGCAGUCUCCAAAUCCCGGCACUCAUGUCCCCUGGCUCCCUCUGAACUCUGCAUUGCACUCACCAGCACGGGCACUGAGGAGCUUCCAGCACAUUUUCAAGGCCUGCAGUCCAGGCUCUCCCACCCUUCUGCCAUCUGGCCUGCACUCCAGACUCCCCCAGCUGCAGACUUGUGUCCUUGGAACAUACCCUGCUAAGGAGAACCUCUGCUCCCCCGCCCUUCUGCUACCUGCCCUACUUAAGCCCUGCUGGUACUUUCAAUAAACGAGACUUGAUCAGAAUACUGUCUUGUCUCCGUCUCUCACGUCUCUUGUACCCCCAUUCUCACUCCCUCCCCAAGGGUCCCCGUGGACUGACCCCACGGGCCGGGGCACCCUAACUCCCAGCUGUGUCAGAACUGGAGGACAGGAGCAGAGCUGGGCCUGGGGGUACAGCACUCUGAGCAGCAGCAAGCCAGCAUCUAGUCCAACAGGGGUUUCUGCAGCCGUACUCUACAAAGGACACACACAAAGACUAGAGGGCUCACCCAGGACUGUUUGCCACAGGCCUUCACUUAGCAGUCGAUCCCAACUCGGUGCAGAGCCCACAGCAUCUUAGAUUCUCCGAGCACUCCUCUCGAGAAGUCUGGUUCAGUCUUAGGACCAAUCUGUGGGCUGUUGCGUCAGUAGUCACACUUCUUUUUCUCUGGACUCCAGCCCAGACUUGAGAGAGACAGAGAGACAAAAGAAAGGACACGAGGGCCUGCUUUGCCUGU